UACGGAGGGCGCAAGCGUUGUUCGGAAUCACUGGGCGUAAAGCGCGUGUAGGCGGCUUUGCAAGUCGGGUGUGAAAUCCCGAGGCUCACCCUCGGAACUGCACUCGAUACUGCUUGGCUAGAGUCCCGGAGAGGGUGGCAGAAUUCCCCGUGUAGGGGUGAAAUCCGUAGAUAUCGGGAGGAACAUCAGUGGCGAAGGCGGCCACCUGGACGGUGACUGACUCUGAGAUGCCACUUCAUAGGGAGGAUUUAGG
This 253-nucleotide ribosomal RNA is filed under the name uncultured bacterium. RNAcentral describes it as "partial 16S ribosomal RNA". It matches the Rfam family "Bacterial small subunit ribosomal RNA", at positions 524 to 776 of the family's 1533-position model. The record is from RNAcentral.